Molecule: ribosomal RNA, 774 nt
Filed under: uncultured Neocallimastigales
Lineage: Eukaryota; Fungi; Neocallimastigomycota; Neocallimastigomycetes; Neocallimastigales
Description: partial large subunit ribosomal RNA
Rfam family: Eukaryotic large subunit ribosomal RNA
Source: RNAcentral
UAUGUGAUCGUCUCUCGCAUAUCAAUAAGCGGAGGAAAAGAAACUAACAAGGAUUCCCUUAGUAACGGCGAGUGAAGCGGGAAGAGCUCAAAUUUGAAAUCUUCAAGGUUUUACCUUGACGAAUUGUAGUUUAAAGAAGUGUUUUCUGUUGAAGUUUUGGUAAAAGUUCUUUGGAAUAGGACAUCAUAGAGGGUGAGAAUCCCGUAUUUGACCAUUAUUUUCAGCUGUGUGAUACACUUUCAAAGAGUCGGAUUGUUUGGGAAUGCAGUCCAAAAUGGGUGGUAAAUUUCAUCUAAAGCUAAAUAUUGGCGAGAGACCGAUAGCGAACAAGUACCGUGAGGGAAAGAUGAAAAGAACUUUGAAAAGAGAGUUAAACAGUACGUGAAAUUGUCAAAAGGGAAGCGUUUGACACCAGUGUUGUUUUCUCGAAAAUCAAUUAAAAAGAGUUAGAUUUUGUUGUGUAUUGACCUUAACAGCUUGCAUUUCAAUUUUCUUGCUUUUUUUAAUGCACUUUUCGUUUAACAAGUCAACAUCAGUUUCUUUUGUUGUAAAAAGGUCAUUGGAAGGCGGCUUUCUUUUCGGAGAAAGUGUUUAUAGCCUUUGACUCCUGCAAUCGGAGAGACUGAGGUCUGCAGCGUAGAUCCUUCGGGGUUAGAUACAUUUGUGCUAAGUUAUAGCUUUUUAUAGACAACUUGUUGACUAUGAUUAGUCUUGUAGCUUACUCGCUUAUGCUAUUUUACCUACGCUUAGGAUGUUGAAGAUGUAGCACAUCAU